RNAcentral lists this ribosomal RNA (467 nucleotides) under uncultured bacterium. RNAcentral's name for it is "partial 16S ribosomal RNA". It matches the Rfam family "Bacterial small subunit ribosomal RNA", at positions 29 to 507 of the family's 1533-position model. The record is from RNAcentral.
ACGAACGCUGGCGGCGUGCUUCACACAUGCAAGUCGCACGGAAAGGCCCUGCUUUUGUGGGGUGCUCGAGUGGCGAACGGGUGAGUAACACGUGAGUAACCUGCCCUUGACUUUGGGAUAACUUCAGGAAACUGGGGCUAAUACCGGAUAGGAGCUCCUGCUGCAUGGUGGGGGUUGGAAAGUUUCGGCGGUUGGGGGUGGACUCGCGGCUUAUCAGCUUGUUGGUGGGGUAGUGGCUUACCAAGGCUUUGACGGGUAGCCGGCCUGAGAGGGUGACCGGCCACAUUGGGACUGAGAUACGGCCCAGACUCCUACGGGAGGCAGCAGUGGGGAAUAUUGCACAAUGGGCGGAAGCCUGAUGCAGCAACGCCGCGUGCGGGAUGACGGCCUUCGGGUUGUAAACCGCUUUCGCCUGUGACGAAGCGUGAGUGACGGUAAUGGGUAAAGAAGCACCGGCUAACUACGUG